RNAcentral lists this ribosomal RNA (253 nucleotides) under uncultured bacterium. Its description in RNAcentral is "partial 16S ribosomal RNA". It matches the Rfam family "Bacterial small subunit ribosomal RNA", at positions 524 to 776 of the family's 1533-position model. The record is from RNAcentral.
UACGAAGGGGGCUAGCGUUGUUCGGAAUUACUGGGCGUAAAGCGCACGUAGGCGGACUAUUAAGUCAGGGGUGAAAUCCCGGGGCUCAACCCCGGAACUGCCUUUGAUACUGGUAGUCUCGAGUCCGGAAGAGGUGAGUGGAAUUCCGAGUGUAGAGGUGAAAUUCGUAGAUAUUCGCAAGAACACCAGUGGCGAAGGCGGCUCACUGGCCCGAUACUGACGCUGAGGCACGAAAGCGUGGGGAGCAAACAGG